RNAcentral lists this ribosomal RNA (399 nucleotides) under uncultured bacterium. RNAcentral's name for it is "bacterial SSU rRNA". It matches the Rfam family "Bacterial small subunit ribosomal RNA", at positions 358 to 773 of the family's 1533-position model. The record is from RNAcentral.
GGAAUCUUGCGCAAUGGGCGAAAGCCUGACGCAGCAACGCCGCGUGUGGGAUGAAGGCUCUAGAGUUGUAAACCACUUUCAGCAGGGACGAAAUUGACGGUACCUGCAGAAGAAGUCCCGGCCAACUACGUGCCAGCAGCCGCGGUAAGACGUAGGGGACAAGCGUUGUCCGGAUUUAUUGGGCGUAAAGAGCUCGUAGGCGGUUCCGUAAGUCGGAUGUGAAAACCCAAGGCUCAACCUUGGGACGCCAUUCGAUACUGCGGUGACUGGAGUUCGGUAGAGGAGUGUGGAAUUUCUGGUGUAGCGGUGAAAUGCAUAGAUAUCAGAAGGAACACCAACGGCGAAGGCAGCACUCUGGGCCGAUACUGACGCUGAGGAGCGAAAGCGUGGGGAGCAAAC